Misgurnus anguillicaudatus (oriental weatherfish) is the source of this 1348-nucleotide long non-coding RNA. RefSeq lists it as uncharacterized. The record is from RefSeq and is a predicted model, not a curated record. NCBI's taxonomy places the organism in Eukaryota, Metazoa, Chordata, Actinopteri, Cypriniformes, Cobitidae.
GAAUGAAGAUAGACCAGUUUAAAAUACGUCAGCUAUUCCCAGUCGACUGAUUUUCUGAAAGCCACAGAUGCCGUCUACUGAUAUAGAAACAGUAGCAUAUCGAGUCAAAAGUCUUUUAUUACUAUUUGCUAAGAAGUAGCCCACUCUUCAUCUAAGCACAGCAAGAUCAAGAGGACAACAUGGAUAACAGAUCUAUGGCUGUGUCGAUCGGGAUAGGCGUAGCUUUUGGUGUCUUAGGGCUGCUCCUGCUGAUCUGUUUGUUGCAGAUGUGUUGCAAGAAAAUUCGCUGCUGUAAACAGCCAUCUGUGAAAGAUAAAAUUUUGAAGAAAGUGGCUACGAAAUCUCCAUUUUCAAUAAGCAGGAUCAUUGACAAGAAAUAACGCCCAGUCACUGUUGACAGUGAUUCAUCGUUUAUUUAUCUCUUACUGUAAAAUCUUGAAUGAACCCGAGUUAUUUUUCUUUGCAACACUUUAAACUUUAUUUCAUCUCAUGCGUGAAAGCAUCCGUUUAUUUAUUUUCUUGAUUUAACUUCUGUGAAAAAUGUGAAUCACACUGAAAUGUAAAAGUGAGAAAAGUGGAGAUGUGAUAUGAUUCAUACCUCUGCUAAAGUAUACAUCACUUUCUCAUAGUCUGGGAAAAGCAGCACAACAAGAGCGCGGCUGUUCGGUAAAAGGUACUUUUUAUCCUGUUUUUCACUGUUUCCAAAUUCACCGCAGAUGCAAAGAAAAGCGUUUUCUCAGACUCUUAAAAGGUCACCAUACUGAGUCCCACACCAACUUCAUAGCUUCUAUAUGUUUUGGUGCCUCUUAAUUGUAUAGAUGGUAUAAGGCAUCUGUUGAACAAAUUUGGCUUUAUUUCAGGAUAUAGAUUGAACUUAACUAAAAGUGAGUGCUUUCCCAUAAAUAAGCUAGCUAAACAAAUUUCCCCAUGUCCCCAUGCUUUCCAUGUCUCCAUGGUUCGUUUGUGGUGAGAACGCGAUCUGACCUCGAACAGAUCUAACUGCAAAAAGUGCUGCGCAUUUGUGAACUAAUCCAGCUGCCAUAGUCAGCUGCGCUGUGGAAUGAGGAAGUGUUUGUAUAUGGCUAGCACCAUAGAUAUUUAUAAUAAAGGCCAGAUGUCUGAAUCUCUAACAUCAUCACCGGCGGCCAUCUUGUCUCAGUCAGCUCACUCACUCGUAGCAUUGUGUUUUAAUGGUGCACAUACUUUUAAAUAAUCAUAACUUGCUCAAUGUUUUACAGAUUUUCAAACGGUUUGGUUUAAUAAUACUGGUUGGAAUAAUUCUGGUUGCUUGAACAUGUUUCAUGAAAAUUAUUCAAGUUAUGGUUAUUUUAAAGUACAUGCACCAUUA